GGCACAAACUUGAAGUAGAGUAGCUUAUUAGGGUCAGACGAUCUUUCUAAUCUACUUUACUUCGAAUUUGGGCCC
Molecule: non-coding RNA, 75 nt
Organism: Haemonchus placei
Lineage: Eukaryota; Metazoa; Nematoda; Chromadorea; Rhabditida; Trichostrongylidae
Source: Rfam